UCCUAGGCUGUAAGGACAUGUAAGG
Molecule: non-coding RNA, 25 nt
Filed under: Cricetulus griseus (Chinese hamster)
Lineage: Eukaryota; Metazoa; Chordata; Mammalia; Rodentia; Cricetidae
Source: RNAcentral